UUUAAGUAGGGUGGAAAGUUUUGUGGCACCUUUAGAGCACAGCAUCCCCCCCCAUCAUCACCACCAAAUUACCAGAUCUCACCCCCUUCUGAAUGGAUUUAUGUGUUGCCAACUCAGAGAGCCAGGAGGAGGGGCUUUAUCUUCAGGGAGCUCAGAGUGAACGAUUCUAGAAGACUGUGUAAGAGAUUCUGAUCUAGAGCCAACUCCCAUCCUCCUACCCACCAAAACAAAACAAAACAACCUUUGGAAAGCAUUUCCACUUGAACUUUAUAAAAUGCCAAACUAAAUACCUCUCACACAGGGUAGGGAUGGCAUUUAGCUCCUCAUCUGUGAAAUGGGUUUCUCUAGUUAACCACUAAGCCCAGCAUGAAGGGACUCACUGGGGCUUCUUGCUUCAGAACUCACAUGUCUCCAACUUGUUUGUGUCUCUUGAUGUUGGUGGAGACUAAGAACACUCCUUACUUGGGUUAUUUGUAAAGACGCUGUGCACACACUGGAAAGGGAAGGAUGCAGCAAUUCUUGGGAAGGAAAUAAUUUAGCUUAGGAUACCUGAUAUGUUAUCAGGUAGCCUGUAUUUAUGCAUAUAUAAUUUCUCCAGUUUUCCAGGUCUUACUAGCUGUUCAACAAGGACAGUGUGCAGACAGCCUGUGAAUCUUGUCUUCGUCCAUGAUUUCACUCCCAGCCAAGUGGAUCAAUAUUUGCAGAUUUGCUUAUUCGCUGCUACUGGAAACCAAAAGGAUGGGAUGGAGGAAGGAAGUUUGUUUUCUUAAAAGCCCCACGUGACAGAAAGCACAUGAGCUUUCCUCCGGACCGAACUUUGACCAUCACAGGAGUUUCCCCAAAAGUUCACAAACAUAUUUGGACACCUACCUUGUGUCAGCAACUGUAUUAUGAGCUGAGGGGUGCAAGGGUGAAGAUGAUAUUCCCCAAAGAGUUCCUGAUUCAGUGGAGACAUGGCCAAGCCCAAAAAAGUGAAUUCAUCUCCUUGUUUUUCCACAUUCUCAUGGACCUUGUGUAAUCAGCAGAGAAGUACAACAUCUUUGGGAAAAGAAGAAAGGAAAAAAAAUCCUAAUUUCAAAUUCCAUAGCAUGAGUGGUGAUGGUGCAGAAUUCUUGUUGAAGAUGGCAGUGACACAAGAGGCCAGGAGCCUGGAUCCAUGCAUUAUCUCUUGAGAAGAGCCACCAACCCACACCGACCUUUGUGAGCAUGAUAACUAGAUUUUUACUGUGUUAAUCCUCUAAGAUUUGGGGACCAUUACAAGAAGAGAAUCCUAUCCAUACUCCCAAACUUAGUCUGAGCCAAUGUAUAUCUCUUCCUUUGUUGCUGGCACAUCUAUUAGGACCACAGAUCGAUGAUGAAAGCAAGAGACUGGGAUUAAUUUCUUCUUUUGCCUUGUAACCUAUGCAACCCCUUCAUGCCCCCCUCAGUGUUAGUGGGCAGUAAUGUGACAAUGGGAGAGAGAAGAAGGAAGUCUUGGGACUGCCUGGGUUGCCUACCCCAGGACCCCUGACAGUAUCCAAAAAUCACUUGGCCAAGCCAAACAAUGGAAAAGGCAAAAUGUUAGCAUGGACAUGAUAAAUAUUCAGUCCUUGUGUGCAGGGUUUGGGGGAGAAUGGAGAUUGCUGUGUUGGAAAUGAUUGGCAGGCUCGUGUCUGCAGGGGCCUCUCCACCCCACAGAAGACAUUGACGGAGAAAUUCCACCAGACAUCCGUCCCAAUAAAACGCCUGGGAAAAACAUCUGUCAGGUGAUAUUUAGAACUGACAUUUUCAUAAGGAUCCAGUCUAUAGAGGGUUUUAUCAGGGCUUGGAAAACCACAUUUUUCAUUCUUCCUCCUCCCCAUCUUCUUUAAUUAAACAAUGCACACAGCGUUUAAUGUAAGUUUUCUAUUUGAUGCUUUAAAAUGACAUGUUUUAAGGGCUACAUUUAAGAAAAAAUUUUUACUUGGAAAUAAUUUCAAUAAUAAUAGUAGUAAUUUCAAUAAUAAUAAUAAUUCCAAAAAAUGUUUCUUUCCUGAACCAUUCAAGAGUAAGUUGUACACAUCAUGGCCAUUAAUCCCUAAAUACUUCAUUUUAUAUUUCUUAUGAAUAGGGAUAUUCUUACAUGACCACAGCCCAGUCAUCACCUUCAGUAAAUUUAACAUUAAUAUAGUAUUUUACUAAUUUACCAUCAGUAUUCUGAUUUUAUCAAUAAUUUGACCCAGUAAUGCUCUAUUUAGUAAUCUCUUUCCUUCAAUCCAAGUUGUCAUGUCUCCUUAGUCUCCUUUAAGAUGGAACAUUUCUACAACCUUUCCUUUUAUUUCAUGACUGUCUUAGUUUCCUGGCUACUAAAACAAAUACCAUAAAACAGGUUGACUUAACAAUGUAAUUUAUUGGCUCAUGGUUUCAAAGCUAGGAGGCUUGCUUCCU
Choloepus didactylus (southern two-toed sloth) is the source of this 2406-nucleotide long non-coding RNA. RefSeq lists it as uncharacterized. Lineage: Eukaryota; Metazoa; Chordata; Mammalia; Pilosa; Megalonychidae. The record is from RefSeq and is a predicted model, not a curated record. The transcript is spliced from 4 exons.